Molecule: long non-coding RNA, 969 nt
Filed under: Phoenix dactylifera (date palm)
Lineage: Eukaryota; Viridiplantae; Streptophyta; Magnoliopsida; Arecales; Arecaceae
Description: long non-coding RNA (PDAC_LNC008116)
Source: RNAcentral
AUGAGGACUUAAUUGAACCAUGACUCUAUUGAACUCUUCAAUCCCAAUCCAAUUAGGAGUCAUGAAAUUAAUUAGAUUAAAUUUAAAAUUAAUUAGGACUUAAGAAAAUCCUAAUCUAAUCAGGACUUGUUCAAAUUUCAGCCCCAAGACAAUUAGGACAUUAGAAAUCCUAUUCCAAGUAGGACUCUAAUUUAAUUUGAAAUCCUAAUCCAAUUAGGACUCCAUGAUUUCCACUCCAAGUAGGACUCAUGAUCAAGUCCAAUUAAUUAAAUCCAAUUAAUUAAAUUAAAUUACAAUCCGAUUGCAAUUAUUCCUUCUUCUAGCCACUAACUCUUAGCGGGUUUCCAUUUAUCAAUCUAAUUGAUUAUUUGUGAUUCCUAAUCACAUUCAACCAUUGGAUCGGUCAAUACCUCUAUUGUGUGUGACCCCAUAGGUUCCAUUCUGACUGGUAGUGAGAUAUAUUAUGAUCUCUAUCACAAUAUCAUUGAAAACUCUUUUCAAUGGGUUGAAACAAUUUCAACUCAACUCACUAGGGAUUAUCGACCAUCGAGAUGAUCCCUGUGAGUCUCACCAUCCACCAGUGACACCUAGCAGUAUGUAGUGGCCACCCAGCAGAAUAGAAUGAUGAACCUCUAGGUGCAGUUAUCAUAUGAUACAGUCCUUCUAUCGUGGAUCCCUACAGAUCGGAGGUCAUGGAAAACUCGUCAAACCCCGUCGUCUGUCAUAUGUCUAGAUUUAUUUGACUUGAGUUCGAUAGUGAAAAACUCUUUCUCCACUUUAUAUUUCUGCCCUGGCCAAGGUCUUAGAACUCAGUCUGACAAAUCACAUAGGAUCACUCCUCUUCUAUCAAGGUCGAUAGAUUCCAUGUAAGUGCAUACCCUACUCCUACAGUGAACUUACUGCAGCCAAUCUACACUACAAGGACCCAUAUGGCUAUAGACCAUGUAUACGUGUAGUCAAACUACAAUN